GUGAGUCAUCGAAUCUUUGAACGCACAUUGCGCCCCCUGGCAUUCCGGGGGGCAUGCCUGUCCGAGCGUCAUUUCUGCCCUCAAGCACGGCUUGUGUGUUGGGUGCGGUCCCCCCGGGGACCUGCCCGAAAGGCAGCGGCGACGUCCGUCUGGUCCUCGAGCGUAUGGGGCUUUGUCACUCGCUCGGGAAGGACCUGCGGGGGUUGGUCACCACCAUAUUUUACCACGGUUGACCUCGGAUCAGGUAGGAGUUACCCGCUGAACUUAAGCAUAUCAAUAAGCGGAGGA
RNAcentral lists this unclassified non-coding RNA (288 nucleotides) under Talaromyces sp. RNAcentral describes it as "partial contains 5.8S ribosomal RNA, internal transcribed spacer 2, and large subunit ribosomal RNA". The stretch from base 1 to 71 matches the Rfam family "5.8S ribosomal RNA", at positions 84 to 154 of the family's 154-position model. The record is from RNAcentral. Lineage: Eukaryota; Fungi; Ascomycota; Eurotiomycetes; Eurotiales; Trichocomaceae.